GACGAACGCUGGCGGCGUGCUUAACACAUGCAAGUCGAACGAGGUCCAUGGAAGCUUGCUUCCGGAAGAUCUAGUGGCGAACGGGUGCGUAACACGUGAGAAACCUGCCCCAGACUUGGGAAUAACAGUCGGAAACGACUGCUAAUACCGAAUACCUCCGGAGCGUCGCAUGGCGCACCGAAGAAAGCUUUUGCGGUUUGGGAGGGUCUCGCGGCCUAUCAGCUAGUUGGUGAGGUAACGGCUCACCAAGGCAUCGACGGGUAGCUGGUCUGAGAGGAUGAUCAGCCACACUGGGACUGAGACACGGCCCAGACUCCUACGGGAGGCAGCAGUGGGGAAUAUUGCACAAUGGGCGAAAGCCUGAUGCAGCAACGCCGCGUGCGGGAAGAAGGCCCUAGGGUUGUAAACCGCUUUCAGCAGGGAAGAAAAUGACGGUACCUGCAGAAGAAGGUGCGGCCAACUACGUG
Molecule: ribosomal RNA, 467 nt
Filed under: uncultured organism
Description: bacterial SSU rRNA
Rfam family: Bacterial small subunit ribosomal RNA
Source: RNAcentral